Non-coding RNA from Myodes glareolus (Bank vole), 757 nucleotides. Lineage: Eukaryota; Metazoa; Chordata; Mammalia; Rodentia; Cricetidae. The record is from RefSeq and is a predicted model, not a curated record.
AGGACUAAGAUUUAUAGGAAGAUUUUUAAAAAGGAAGUUAGUACAUAGAAAAAAAAACCCUACUUCCUCCAAGUAUAGCUAUUAGUGUGGUACGAAAACCAAAAAGGGAAAGAAAUGAAAAAUAAUAACAAGAGCAUUACAUAUUUAUCCUCCCCACUUAUAUAUAGUAUUUAUUUUAAAGGACAAUUUAUAAAAUCCUAAGUGUUUAAGUGUAUGAAUCAUGAAUGAUGCCAAGUUCAGUAAGAGCUAAGGUAAAACACAGAAGACAAGGUUGCCUCCUUCUCCUUCGCAGGUGUAGAACCCAGGGCCAGCCUGCAGGAUGGAAGCAACAACACCAGAGUCCCUCCUCCCAGCAGAAUCCAUCGGAAGCUCCUUUGAUGACAAGCUCAUUGUAGUGGCCAGGUGGGAAUAGAACCAAAGUCAGGAGACGUUCACAAGAGAACCAAAUGACACACACAGGAGAGUCAGGCUUGGGAGGAUCCUGGAGGCGCUCUGAGAAGUCUACCUUGGACCUGGAGAAGUGACAAGUACAGGUGUCACAGGUGAGGGCGAAGGUCAAAGAUAGAUCUGGACGAUGUCUCUCCUCCUGUCUCGCGCUCACUGACUUCACACCCCUUCCCCCAUCAUCUCUUCCACAGUGACAGCGUCUCUCUGUCAGCUCUAAUAACACUGUACCUUCCAGGUCUUCAAUCAGACCUCGAACUUCGUUGACAUUUAACACAUUAAGCCAUUGUUCCAAAAUAAAACUUCUAAGGAA